ACUCAGCUUGGCAGGACGCGGGCCCCGCCGCCCGGGGUUCCCAUAGACUCCGCACCCCCUGGGCGACCAGUUCCUGGGUGGCGGGCUGCUAAGGGAGGAGCUCCUUCGGAGAUAGGUGCUUUUAAACCCCGCUCCCAUUUUUUUAAGCUCCAUAUGAGCAAGGAUUCUUUUUUCAUGGUUGAAAUGGGUUGCCACAUUUAUAUUGACUCUUUUAUUGCUGUAAAAUGUACCAUUUUAACCACUUUUAAGCGUGCAGUUCUGUGGCAUUAAGUAUCUUUAUAUCGCUGGGCAACCAUCCCCACUCUCCAUCUCCGGAACGUUUUCAUUUUCUUAAACUGGAACUCUAUUCCUUACACAGUAACUCCCAAUUUCCCCCUUCCCUUUGUAAAAAUUUAUUUUUAGCUUUAAAAUGAUUCAGGUGUCAGUGAAGAUAGGAGUAUGUGAUAUAAAUUCUCCCACUCUGGGGGCUGCCGCCCCCCAGUUCUGUUCCUGAAAGUAUCAGCAAAUAGCUUUCUUCCCCUUCGGUGUUUCUUGGAGAUCAUCCCCGAUGAUCUAGACUUGCCAUAACUUGUCCACCGUGUCCCCUGUUGGUUGACAGUCGGGUUGUUACCAAUUUUUGGACACAAGCUGCUUUUUUGUGCAAGUGUGAGGUCUUCUGUGGGAGAAAUCCCUGGAAUUGACAUUGCUGGGCCCAGCAGGAUGUGCCUAAAGUAAUGUUGAUAGCUCUUGGCAAGUUCCCUCUGGAAGCUCCAUUGAUCAUUGAAGCCCAGACACAAAAGUUUUCUUGGAAUCACUUUUCGGUUUCAUGCAAAGCCACUGAAACUUUUUUGAAGAGUUGCUGGUGGAUUGCUCUGGACAGCGGUCGCGGUGUGUUCUCUGAGCCACAGAAGAAAGGUCACCCGUGAACCUCAGUGAUUUAUGCUCUGCCGUGGUAGUGAUGUGAGGGACAGCACAGACAUUCAUGACACAUCUGUUUUGCGCCAGGUGAGGAAACAGCAGGAAGACACCACCCGUGAACCUGGAAGGGGCUCUCACCAGACACUGAAUCUGCCAGCACCUUGACCUUGGACUUCCAGCCUCCAGAACUGUGAGAGCUCAGUGGUAGUUGUUUAAGCUGCCAGCCUGUGGUGGUGUUUGGCAUAGCAUCUUGAACACGCUUAGUACUACAUGUACGUGAUUUACAGAGUGAAUUACCAGAUCCCCUUCUAUAUCCCCCGCCCAGGUUCCAGCUCACCAAAGGCAGCCACUCUUAAAUCUCUUAUAUUUCUCUGUGUUUCUAAAUAAUCUGUUUCUUUUUCCUCUUUCUUUCUCUCUUUCCUUUAUUUCCGUUUUCGAUGGUGUCUGUGGAUUACCACUAAGCAGGAAUGAGGAAUUCUCUUCCAACCCCACCACAGUCCUUCCUCCCCCAUACAGUUAAAUGUUUUCAGAGUUAUGAUGGUGUAAACCAUGUUCACGGUUGAACACGUAGGCAUAAAUGCCUGACUGUGUGCAUGUGGGCAAAGGGCCCCUUAUGUAGUGGGGAACCUUGAACAAACAAGCCCCCUGAAGGAGGGCUGGACGUAGACCCCCAGGCUGACACAGUGAGCCCCAGGUCUCCUGAAUGGUCAGUCUACAUGCGUGUAUAAGAUAAACUCAUCAUAGGGCCUCUAUUUUCUUUUUAUUUCUUUCUUUUUUUGUGUGUGUGUCAGAGAGGUGUGGUUAAUGCCUGUAGGGUCAUGGUGAGGGUGAUAAACCAGACGGAGACACGUGUCCACAUGUUCUGAUUUGCUCCAUUAAAACGUGUUUCACAGGCAUGGUGGUAGGUGCAGGGAAAACGGAGUCAGCUUGAACUGUCAAGGUUGAGGGGCAACAGCGAAGCCUGGAGCAUCUCCCAUAGUCCUCAGAUUUCCUGUCAUGUUUCAAAGCAUUUUCUUUUAAUGUGGUGAAAUACACGUAACGUAAAAUUUACCAUCUUAACCGUUUUCAGGUGUGCAGUUCAGUGGCAAUAAGGGCACUCACGUUGCUGUGCGGCCAUCACCACCAUCAUCUCCAGAGCUCUCUGAUCUUCCCAAACUGACACUCUGUCCCCACUGAAUACUGACUGCCCACCCCUCCUCCAGCCCCUGGCAGCCACCCUUCUACUCUCUGUGUCUGAAUUUGUCCACUCCAGGGGCCUCAUGUAAGUGGAAUCCUAUAGGAUUUGUCCCGAUGUGUCUGGCUUAUGUCACUGAGCAUAAUGUCCUCAGGGUUCAUCCACGCGGUAGCAGGUGCCAGGGUUUCCUUCCUUUUUUAGGCUGAGUAAUAAUAUUCCGUUGUGUGGACGGACCAUUGCUUAUCCAUUUAUCCAUCAGUGGAUUUUUGCGGUGCUCCUGCCUCUUGGCUGUUGUGAGGAAUGCUGCUGUGAACAUGGGUGUCAAACAUCCCUUCAGUUCUUUUGCUUUCAGUUCUUUUGGGUGGAAUUGCCCAGUGGUAGAAUUGCUGGCUCAUAUGGUAGUUCUGUGUUUAAUGUUUUGAGGAACAUCCAGACUGUUUUCCCCGCGCCUGCACCAUUUUACAUCCCCGCCAACAGUCACGAGCUUCCCGUUUCUCUGUGUCCCCGCUGACCCUUGUUCUUUUCUUUUGCUCUUUUUCUGUGGUAGCCAUCCCAAGGGCUGUGAAGUGUGAACUGGUGUCUCAUUGCGGUUUCAUGUGCAUUCCCAGGUUUCCUUUUAUUUGUGGUGAUUUCUCAGUGUUGAUGAGAGAGCAUGUGGGAUGGCGUUUCCCAAACGUUGGCAUGCGUACCAGUCACCCAGGGAGUGUGCUGCAAUGCAGGUUCUGAGUCAGGAGGUCUGGGAGUCUGCCUGUGUGUCCCAGGUGUCGACGGCAGAAGCUGCUGGGUGAGGGCCACACCGUGAGUAGCAAAGACAGAUAACACCGUGCACAGGGCCCCUGCAGUCAGGCCAACCCAGCGUGGGGGUAACUUUCCUAGCCGCAGAGAGCAUGUUUCCUACAGCAGGGCAGUGCUCCCUGAAGGGACUUAGUGGAUGGGAGGUGACUUGAAAAGAUGAUAUGUGUUUGUACGUAGAUUUUUCUUUAUUGCCCUUUCGUUUCAAUUCAGUCCACUCUGGAGAUCCUCAGCAGCAAGGUUAUUCUGGAACCGGGAACGUGUGAAACACCAGGGAGUGAGGCAGUAGGAGAUGGAAAGGGAGGGAGUCUCCUCUUUCGGGGGAGAUUACCUUGGUGGGGGAGGAUUCGCUACUUACAGAAAAGGUGACAUUGCAGAGGUGAUGAGGUGCAGGUAGACUCCACCGCGAGGUAGUACACGUGGGUGAUGCAGACGGUGUGGUCCAGGGCAAGCGAAUGGAAGAGGA
Molecule: non-coding RNA, 3329 nt
Organism: Delphinapterus leucas (beluga whale)
Lineage: Eukaryota; Metazoa; Chordata; Mammalia; Artiodactyla; Monodontidae
Source: RefSeq, a predicted model, not a curated record